This is a non-coding RNA of Pelobates cultripes (western spadefoot toad), 114 nucleotides long. The record is from the annotation of a GenBank genome assembly. Lineage: Eukaryota; Metazoa; Chordata; Amphibia; Anura; Pelobatidae.
GAGAUUGUAAUAGUUUUAUUUAAAAACACCUCACCUAGGCAAAAAAUAAUAUACAUUAAUAUACAUUAUUUUUUGCCUAGGUGAGGUGUUUUUAAAUAAAACUAUUACAAUCUC